This 406-nucleotide ribosomal RNA is filed under the name uncultured bacterium. RNAcentral describes it as "partial 16S ribosomal RNA". It matches the Rfam family "Bacterial small subunit ribosomal RNA", at positions 30 to 526 of the family's 1533-position model. The record is from RNAcentral.
AUUGAACGCUGGCGGCAGGCCUAACACAUGCAAGUAGAACGAGUGGCGGACGGGUGAGUAAUGUCUGGGAAACUGCCUGAUGGAGGGGGAUAACUACUGGAAAAGGUAGAUAAUACAGCAAACAAUCGGCUGUGCCCAGAUGGGAUUAGCUAGGCGGUGGGGGAAAGGCUCACCUAGGCGCCGAAGCCUUGCUGGUCUUAGAGGAUGACCAGCGAAACUGGAACUUAGACAGUGUCCAGACUCCUACGAGGGGCAGCAGUUGGUAAUAUGGCAUAAUUGGCUAGAGCCUGAUGCAGUCAUACCAAGUGUAUGAAGAAGGACUUCGGGUUGUAGAGUACUUUCAGCGGGGAGGCGUUGCCCGCAGAUGAAGCACCGGCUAACUCCGUUCCAGCAGCCGCGAUAAUUC